GUACACUCCUGCGGGAGGCAGCAGUGGGGAAUUUUGGACAAUGGGCGAAAGCCUGAUCCAGCAAUGCCGCGUGAGUGAAGAAGGCCUUCGGGUUGUAAAGCUCUUUUGUCAGGGAAGAAACGGUGAAAGCUAAUAUCUUUUGCUAAUGACGGUACCUGAAGAAUAAGCACCGGCUAACUACGUGCCAGCAGCCGCGGUAAUACGUAGGGUGCAAGCGUUAAUCGGAAUUACUGGGCGUAAAGCGUGCGCAGGCGGUUUUGUAAGUCUGAUGUGAAAUCCCCGGGCUCAACCUGGGAAUUGCAUUGGAGACUGCAAGGCUAGAAUCUGGCAGAGGGGGGUAGAAUUCCACGUGUAGCAGUGAAAUGCGUAGAUAUGUGGAGGAACACCGAUGGCGAAGGCAGCCCCCUGGGUCAAGAUUGACGCUCAUGCACGAAAGCGUGGGGAGCAAACAGGAUUAGAAACCCGUGUAGUCCCAU
Molecule: ribosomal RNA, 476 nt
Filed under: uncultured organism
Description: partial 16S ribosomal RNA
Rfam family: Bacterial small subunit ribosomal RNA
Source: RNAcentral